CCUCUUCGAUCUGCUGCGGCGCGAUGAAAUGGAUAUGGCUGUCCAUGCCGCCGGCUGUGACGAUCUUGCCUUCGGCGGCGAUCGCUUCCGUGCCCGGACCGACGAUGAUGUUGACGCCGGGCUGCAUGUCGGGAUUGCCCGCCUUGCCGAUCGCAACGAUACGCCCGUUCUUGAGCCCGAUAUCGGCCUUGUAGAUGCCUGAGUGAUCGACGAUCACCGCAUUGGUGAUAACAGUGUCGACCGCGCCGUCCGCCCGCGUCACCUGGCUCUGGCCCAUGCCGUCGCGGAUG
Molecule: non-coding RNA, 290 nt
Organism: Rhizobium sp. Pop5
Lineage: Bacteria; Pseudomonadati; Pseudomonadota; Alphaproteobacteria; Hyphomicrobiales; Rhizobiaceae
Source: Rfam